CAAAUAAUACUAGAUAAUUAAAGUAGCUUCACUGUAUGCAGCAAAGUUUAUGUAACGAAUGACCAGUUCUUUUUGCUGAAAGAUGUGUCUGCUUCUCAUGUGUAGUAAGGUUAAAUACACUUUCUUAGCGAAUCUGUCCCUGGAGUACUACUGUUGCGUUUCUUAUUAUUAAAUGCUUCACAGCUAACACAUUCAUCUGCCCAUUAAAAAUGCUGCAAUAAUAUUGGGACAAUUAAAAGUAAGAAACGCUGGGAUAUUUCAUACAUUUUGGCCAGUGAUAGUAAUUUAAUAUUGUAUUAUUUAAAGAUGGACACAUGAAACACAGAUUAAGUAGUGUGCACAUAUGUGAACAAAGGUCUGAAAACUGAAAGGUAAGUCUGUGAAAGAUCAUAUAAAACUGUCAUCAGAACAUAUGCUCCUUAAACACAUUUGUGUUUCCUUUUCAUCAUUAACAUGGCUCUAAUGAGAAGGCAGCAAAAUGGUACAAUGGAGCCAACUGUGCAAAACAUCCCCUUUUCAUCGUGUCAACAGAUGUUGCUUGUAGAAAGGUGAAGGGGGGAUGAUGUCAACCAAAAGGCAUAGGGAAGCCAGUUGAGCUCCACAUCUUGCCAUCCUUCACUGAUAUAACACUCACAGUACAGUACAGCUUUUAGUACUUUGAUUGCUGGACAAAUGUCAUGCUAUAAUAUAGCACCUCCUGGCAGGAGAUCUACCUUUUAUGUGUUCUGUAGCAUGAACUAUGAAUAUGUAUUAGCACAAUCUGUUAUGUGGCAAGGAAUAGAAGGAGGUUCCAAGAGAGUUUACUUCAGCUGUAAACCUGAAAAGUAAUAUAUAGGAAACAUAGUGAGUGCGUGUAUCUGUCUUCCAAAUGGGCUGUUAAAAGUGACCUUGAAAAUAAAUUGAAACAGCCCUAAUGGUAUGUUUUAGAUAUCUGUAUAGAAAACGACAACAGUUUCCUUUUUUUUAAAUCCAUUCUAAUUGGUGAAGAAACUGUUCACAGACAAAAGUCCCAUAUAAAUGAAAUAUAAAAAUCCAUUUAAAUACUGACCCCUAGACGCUUCUUAUUAAAAUUUUCUCCUGAUACUACAGAUAGUAGUGAAAUAUUCAAAAGCAUCUGUCUCCACAAGAAGUGAAACAUACUUUAAAUGUGGGGAACUUAAAACAUUUUAGGAAUAGGCUUCUGAUGAGUUGCCUCUCUGAAUUUCUGAGUUCUCUCAUUUUGAUACGGUCCACUUAUCCUGCUGCCCAGAGGGGUUUCCAUAAGGAACAAGUUAAGUUUCAGAUGCACAAGAAGUGACGGCACUUUUUUACCACUUUACCAAAUUGAGAGCUUAAUAAAGUUUAAAUAUAAAUAUUUAGAUUUUAAAAAUUUAAAUAUUGCCAUAGCUAUUUUAAUUGUACCCCUGUAUGCAAAAUUAAAAUAGUAUUUGUGAGCUCAUUUAAAAUUUUCAUUGAACUUGAAUUAUAUAAUAAAGAAAUCCAACAUGGAAGUAUCUCUGCUGAAGCUAUGUCUGCUGAAAACCUUUACCUUGCACUAACUUAUUUUUCUUCCCACAGUGGUCUCUAAAUGCUAUAAUGCGUUGUGAGUAGCAAUCACUGUGAGCAAUAUGCCAAGCGACCCCAGUACUCCAGCAGGCUGCUAGACCAGGAGUUCAACUUGGCAGUGGUACUGUCUUCAGGAGGCCUGAAGCAAUAAUUCCACCUUCCAGCUGUAGAUGAAUCUGCUGUACAGAUGAAUCAGCAACGGAAGCUUCUACCAGUGUCUGUGUUGUGGUGAGGGUUCGUCUGACUUUAAUCCAGUAAUGUAUCAAGGUGGGCUAAGGUCGGGACUAUGGAGGAUCCUGCAUAGUGAAGGCAGAUGGGAUGCCUUGUCGCUAUUGUUCUAUGGUCCUGUGCUAAGGGGUGUGGAAGGUUAUAGUCCCUGGG
Molecule: long non-coding RNA, 1926 nt
Organism: Neopsephotus bourkii (Bourke's parrot)
Lineage: Eukaryota; Metazoa; Chordata; Aves; Psittaciformes; Psittacidae
Exons: 3
Source: RefSeq, a predicted model, not a curated record